GAUGAACGCUAGCGGCAGGCUUAACACAUGCAAGUCGAGGGGCAGCACAGGGAGCAAUCCUGGGUGGCGACCGGCGGAAGGGUGCGUAACGCGUGAGCAACUUGCCCGUAUCUGGGAGAUAACCGAUGGAAACGUCGACUAAUAUCCCAUAACACAAUUUGUGGCAUCGCAGAUUGUUAAAAGAGAAUCGGAUACGGAUAGGCUCGCGUGACAUUAGCUAGUUGGAGUGGUAACGGCACACCAAGGCGACGAUGUCUAGGGGUUCUGAGAGGAAGGUCCCCCACACUGGAACUGAGACACGGUCCAGACUCCUACGGGAGGCAGCAGUGAGGAAUAUUGGUCAAUGGGCGAAAGCCUGAACCAGCCAUGCCGCGUGAAGGAAUAAGGCCCUAUGGGUCGUAAACUUCUUUUGACGGGGAGCAAUAAGGUCUACGUGUAGGCCGAUGAGAGUACUCGUCGAAUAAGCAUCGGCUAACUCCGUGCCAGCAGCCGCGGUAAUACGGAGGAUGCGAGCGUUAUCCGGAAUUAUUGGGUUUAAAGGGUGCGUAGGCUGUUUGUUAAGUCAGGGGUGAAAUACCGCAGCUCAACUGUGGAAUUGCCUUUGAUACUAGCAGGCUUGAAUACUGUUGCCGUGGGAGGAAUGAGUAGUGCAGCGGUGAAAUGCAUAGAUAUUACUCAGAACACCGAUUGCGAAGGCAUCUCACGAAGCAGGCAUUGACGCUGAGGCACGAAAGCGUGGGGAUCANACAGG
This 751-nucleotide ribosomal RNA is filed under the name uncultured bacterium. Its description in RNAcentral is "bacterial SSU rRNA". It matches the Rfam family "Bacterial small subunit ribosomal RNA", at positions 28 to 776 of the family's 1533-position model. The record is from RNAcentral.